CGGCGGAGAGGGGGCGCGGCGCAGGUGGCGGCCGGGGCGGGGGCCGGCGGAGCGAUGGGAGCGGGGCGGCCGGGGCCCCGCUAGAGACGAGCGGCCCGGGCCCGUGUUUACACCCCAGCCGCUCGGGAGGCGCGGGGCCGGCGCCCGCGUUGCAGUCGGCCCCUGGAAGGCAGUCAGGAGCCGUGCAAAGUUUGCCGGCCCGCAGGUACGCUGGCGGUAGCGGUCGCGGCAGGAGACUUCUGUGCCCGCAGCGCCCAGCUCGGCUCGUGGCACGUUUGGGCGAGCUGGGAGCCAGGCUGGCCAUGAAAACUGCAAAAUGGGUCUGCAGGUGCAGUUUGUAGUUGCAUUUGGCCGCUUCUUGGCUGCCUGCUAGCGAUAGCUGGCCUGCUGUGGGGAGAGAGCGCUUGCAGCGUUGACCUCGGGCUGGUUUUUAGCCAUCCUCAGACGAACCAGUCGAAGCGAGGGAAAUGCGUUGUUCUUAGAAGUGAAUGAAUUGCCGUAGCGUCUAAGUAUUCCACAGCGGGGCUCUUCCCUUUAGGCAGGUUGGUAGUGGUGGUUUGAGAGCUAGGUGCCUUACUGCCUGCAGAGUAUUGGCUUUAGUUCCCCAAACGGCCCGUGUCAGCUUAGGUCCUGGCAAAGGGUGGAGAGCGGCGGUCUGCCGGGAGGGCAGGCCGUGGCGGCUCCCGAGAGCCAGCUGCGGCGCCUCGUCCCGGAGAGCCCUGGCGGGAGCAGCACAGCUCGCAGCGGGCAAAGCACAAGUGCUUGCGGCGUCAGAGCUUCUUCCCCAUCUUCAGGAGAGUGAGGUAAGGAUAAAACAAGCCUGGUAACAUAGGUCCCCUGCACUGGAAGGUGAUCAGUACCUGUUAAGCUUGGUAAGCGCAACAGAUGCCUUCCCAUAGGUGCUGGUAUGUGUGGGGCAGGGAUUAGUUCUUCUUCGGACCGCUCUUAACAAGUGACAGGAAGUUUUGGAUCAGGUCUCAGAGGAGGCAUGGUCAAGCGCUGCGGAAGCGCAUGUGAAACUGGUCUGGCAGGUUCAACCCUACAAACAAAUGGGAUGGGGCUGGCCUACAUUACAGCUGUGACUGCGCUGCGUGAGGUGGCUGUGCACAUGGAGGACACUGGUGUGAGAAAUCCCGGACAGCGGGACCGGCAGGGGCGUCCCGCAGCACCCGCCUGGUGAGCCUCCUGAGCCCAGGCUUCGCUGGCCGAGCUCUGCCUGCGUCCCCUCUCCGACCUGUGCUUGCAGAGUGGCCGCUGGGCUGCUGGGCGUGCGGCGGCGGUAGGGAGACACAAGUCCCUUUACUGCCUCUGACAGUUCACAGCUGGUCUGGCCCCCAGAAAUAUUGUCCUUUGGGAAGCAUUACAUGCAUACUCUUCCUUUUGGGCAAGAAGGGUUAAAAAUGCAGCCGCAAUUAAAAAUCCUAUUAAUUUGCAGCCCAGGGUAAGAGCAGCUGGGCUGAGCAAAGUGGGUGGAGUUUCCUGUCAGUAGUAAAUCUGUCUCCCCAGUGCACAGCCCUGAUCUGUGGGGCUGACAGGCGCUCCCCCGGCAGGUAAAUCAGCGUCAGUGUGUGGUUUGUCUGCAGCUGAAAUUGGCAGAUUUCAUAAACUCAGAUAUCAGAAAUACCUCCUGAGGGACUGAUUUUCCUGCACUGCAAGGCCCUUAUACACCUCUCCAGCUGUGUUAAGUGGCUGGGAAGUGGGUGUAUUGAGUAGCAAAGAGCAGUGUGGUUGGCUACAGGGAACAGAGCUGGCUGGAAACAUUUCAGAGUGUGAAUGCAGCGGAUGAAAGACAGGGCUCGUGUUAGUAAUGAAAACAUUUGCAAAAGAAGUCCCAUUUUAGACCAUCUCUAGUAGUUAUACACCAAGUGCUGGAGCCGUACUCAUGGUUGGACAUGGUGCUGCACCAGCUGACCACAGAGACAUUUCACAGUUGUGUAGCAUCAGGCUUGGCCUUAGAGCUCUUCUCUGAGACGUAGUUACAUUACAAGCUUUCCGUCUCUUCAGAGGAGCUUUUCAGGGCCUGUCCAGUGAGUCACAGAGAUACUGCCUCUCUGAACACAGAUGGAUGGCCUGAUUUUCCAGAGGGGUGAGCGCUUGCAAGUCGUGCUGGAGUCAAUGGAGAAGAGGUAGCAAAUGGGUGAAACAGUACAGGGAGAUCAGUCAAAAUGUUUGAGCAUCAUGUCCUGGGGAAAUUGUUGUUGCUCAUCUUCUUCUCUAGACCUUUCUAAAAGGGAGUCCUGGAGAGUGAAUAAUUUCAAAUCACUUUAAGCUGUAGCAGUUGAAGUAGCAGAGGCAAAGAGGAACAUGGUCCUGUUCCCCUCACUGCCAGUUCAGGAGUGCGAUGAAGAACACAGGGCGACAUGAAAAACAUCUUAGAAAAUAGAAAAAUAUUGUGCAGGGAUAGAUAGCUAUUACUAGCAUGGCAGUAAUGGUACCCUUUAUUUCACUGACUGUUCUGGUAGACCUAGUACACAUUGACAAUGUAAAUAUACAAGAUGCGUUGCAAAAGUUACUUUGCUCCUUCCCCUGUCCAGACAUUUGCAAAAAACCCAUCAUGUGCCCUAUGUGGAGCAAAACUUGCACUGCGAGGACUUCCUCCCCAGAGACUGGGUAUCUGCCAAGCUCUCAGAUGUCUGCAGGCUCCCUACUGACCUGGCGCCCACUUGUUGGGUGGCAUGUUACAGCACUGGUGCAGGAGCAGGAAACACCUCUACACCUCUACUGACAUCAGGACAGAUCAAUAUCGUAGUGAAACUCUGUUUUGUUGGACAGUUUCAAACAAUAAACAAAUAUAUUGUCAAGAAUAGCUGGUGAGGAGAUAGCUGGAUCUUGGAAGGGAAUACCUCCUCCUCCAUCAUUGGUAUUUUGGUGUUCUUCGAAAAUGAAAAACUGAUACAUACUUAAGGGCAGAGAAAUGUUGAGAACUGUCUUAAAAAUAAUGCUUUGCUCUCCAUGCCUGCUUUCCCACCAGCGCCUGGGGCUAUUUCUGAGUCUAUCCCAAACUACCCCUCUACCAAGCAGUGUAAGGACUUCGAUAGUGUAAGACCACAGCUGUCUUGGUGCCUUGUCUCAUGCAAGAUUUAGUGGUCAUUCCGCACAGCAACCCUGGAAAAUUGGAGGCUGUAGUGGAAAUGACAAAUAGCUGUUGGCACUGUGAAUUCAACACCAGGGGCCAAACUCUGCCCAGCGAAGGGGAAAGUUUGCUGCAGUCCCUCCGAGCCGUGAGAAACUGUGUCACAGGUUGAAGCAGCUCUGAGCACAGAAAGGCAGGAAUGAGUCAUCCACACUUGAAGGUCAGUAGCGGGGCUUCCGCUGGCUGCAGGAGUUUGUCAAGCCUGGCCCUGGCCUGCCCAGGUCCCUUCCGAGUGGGCUGUGUCGGGAGCAGAGCCCAGGCGUGGGGCGCAGUGGUGUGCAGUGCCCGUGCUGGCUGGCGCCCGGGGCAGAGGGAGACCAGCCCCUGCACCCGGGCGGUGGCACAGUGUGGGUGUACGGGCUCACAGGAUGGAGCCUUUCCUUGCAUCGAAUGCAACGGCUGAGCCAUGGAGCAGCAGCCGUAGAAACCAGCACGUGGUGCCACCCUGCUCCCCUGGGUUGGCACGGCGUCGUGCGGACUCCCCCAGCCGUGUGCGAGGGUUGAAUGCCACCUCCCAGUGCCAUGGCGAGAGGCCCGUUUAGGCAGUGCUUCCCUGCAUGCUGCGGGUGAGGUGUCCCUGGGUAUUACUGACUGUCCAGAAAGCCUUUGAAACCUGCAGGGCCGAAGCAAAAUGGUGCCACUCUCUCGCACACAUCAGUAACAGGCCAGGGAGGUGCUGGAGGAAAGACUUCAUGUUAAAGGAAACAUGAUCUAACAAGUCCUUUAGCUAGGACGACAGAAAGAUUUAAACACGGGUUUUUAAGUGUAUGCAGGACAACUGUCAAGUUCAGAGAGAGAUCAGGAGUUCAUUGGAGAGAGACAUUAGGAACAAAGCUUACUCCAGGGAGCUGUUAGUUCCCUUUGGGCUGCGGAGGAUUUAGUGUCUCUGUGUGUCAAUGUAUUGUGCACGUUAUGAAGCUCGCAAUCCUGGCAGCUUUGAUAUGUUCAAGUUUUUCUUUAAAACCCCUGUGGAUAACAAAGUGACUUUUAUUUAACAUGAGAGGUAUUGACAAGCUCCCCCAGGAAAGUUCUCAAAAGGGGCUUUUCAAAUAUUAGCUUCACUUUUAGAUGAUUUUUUUUCCCCUGGAAUAUCCAGAAGUGGUUUGUUUCUGACAACACCAAAAAUACAUUGGGUGUCCGCUGACGCAGGAAAGAUAUGCCCUGUGCUGGUUGGACUCCUAGACUAGUGUUCAGUGUCCCUAUCUAAAGCUUUUGGCUCAACAGAUGAUGCUUUUGUUUGGAAAGCCUGAAGUUUAUAGUACAGAGUUAUUCGUCUGCUUCAGAGACUGAAAGCAGCUGGUGGGACUGACACGGGCAGGUUAGGUUGUUACGCAAAAUGCAAGCAUAGAAGAGUCACGAAAGCAAAGCGUCAGCUCAGAGGCUCCAGCUGGGCUGUUAUUGCCCCGAUGGGCUAGCUGCUCUCCUCAGCUUUUCCUUUUGCUGGGAGGGUGGAGGAGCCCUGGGCUGGCUGCGUGCAGAGGGAUGGGGUUGUGCAGCACACGCGUGCCGCCGAGUGCCGCAGCUCCCAGGCACCGGCGGCAAGGAAGGAGUGACCUGGUGUUGAGGCUUCAGUAAGAAAUGCUAUAAAUUGACUCUAGCCCUUUUUACUGGGCCUGGCCUGCCCUGUACUGUUACUCAGGCAGAAGAUUAGGGAAGUAAAAACUAGCCAUGAAAUACAGCUUCGGUUUUGGAAAUCUUUCUUUGAAGAUGUGCUUUUGUUUCUGUUGUGUGGGAACAGCUGAUGCUUGAAGGAGACUGAAAUCUGUUUUACAGUAAAGGAGACAGUGGCAGUCUCACCUUUUCCCCUGAUUCAUGCUGAGCCCAGUGUGUUAUUUCUGUAUAACCAAGCAUGUUAGGUAUUUCUGUACCAGGGAAUCAUAAACGUUUUCAUAACAUAAACCACAUCUUUCACGCACCACUUUGAAGGCAGGAAUGACUGUUUGGAUCCAUCUUCUUCAGCCUUUUUGGAAUUACGUAACAGUUCUCUGGCAACGGCAGCAAAUGUUUGUACAAGCGAACAGAGCUGGGGAAGAACAUCAUGUAUUUUUAGCUGUCUUAAUUUGAUUCAGCCAUUGAAAACACAGGGAAACACACAGCAGUAGCCAGCUCUCUAACAACUGUUGCUCUGCCUCUUUGCAAGGAGACAAAUGUAAAGAGCUGAGGGGGGGAAAAAAAGGUGCUUCCAAUAAUACAUCAUUCCCUGGUGAAGAAAUAAAGAAACUUGCACUUCCAUUUGAUUUGUCAUCUCUGCAGCAAAGCCAAGCACCUGAAAGAAGCAGCCAAAAUUUAGUUUGCUCGUGCAGUCUUAAUUAGCCCCAUUGUGUACAUGCAAUAUGAUGCUGUCUUUAGUUGCACCAUCAAAUAUUUUCUCAUGCUAUAGCUGCCAUAGAUGCCAAGCCCUUAUUUUCCUGGACAUUCAAGUGUGGCAUAUACCUUCAUUAACAUGGCUGGGCUUUCCUCCCCGGUGGGGCCGUGCAGAACAGUGUUAUCCCCCCUUUUGCGGGUGUGAAACCAGAGGAGGCAGUGGCAGGUCCCUAGUGAAGCAGGAUUAGAGCUGCGGUCGGUCCCAAGAACCCGGCACCUCCCCGGCUCUCUGUGACUGCACUUCUCCAGGUCAGAUCAAGCCAGAAAGAUGAGGGGACCCCCCCACCCCCCCACCCCCCCCGUGGCCACCGGCUAGCACAUCUGGUGUGACUUAACCUCACUGGAGAAGCUUGCUGCGGUGGCAGGGAGGAGCGGGCUUUUCCUCGGGGCAGUUGCUUUGCCUCCACCCCGGGCCGGCUCCGCGGGUGCUCGCUGAGCACUGACUCGCUCCUGGCAGCCCCUCGGUGCUCAGGAAGGGCAGUGCUCACUGGGCGCCUCUUCAUUGCUCUGGGACGGCAGGGUUGGGCCAGGUGUGAGGCUGCAAGAGCUGGCGCUGUGAUCCUAGAUCAGCUCUAUACAGAAUCACACAGGAAUGAAUAAUCCUGGUUAAAUGCAGGCUCUGACAAGUGCCGCCAGCUCGAAGUCCUGGAGUAAAACAUUGAAGAGCUAGUUCAUAGCCUGGGUACUAUCCGAGCUGUGCAUUGAAUAGGAUGGCAAACACAGCUAGUACGUGAUCACAUAAACAACGUGCACAUCAUAGCAGACGUUACACAGGCAACCUAAAUAUGACUCUGCUUGGCUGUCAGGUGUUUGACUCUCCAACAAAAUGACAUCCUUUUCCCUGUUUCAAGCAGAUCGUUCUGUCUCCAACAGUAACAGCUUCUGCAUCCUGUUGUUUGCACCUGAGCCUCCAGCAGAGCCUGGACUGCGGGCUGGUAGCAUCAGCCUGGCUGUGGCCACAGGGCUGGGCACGCAUGCGGGCACGUGCUGAGGCUCUCGAGGUGACAUGCUGAGUCCUCUCCAGGACUGGCACUUCUCUCCCUAUUUCCCUUUCUUCAGUAACCUGAGAUCUCCAUUACAAAAAACGGGCUUCUGGAUGAGUCAAGGAGAGGAUGAGAGAAAUUACUGCCCCAGCACAUACUUGGGAAGGCUUGAUACCUACAUGAGAAUUUAUUGCUUUUAGUUUCUGAAUCGCUUUUGGACUUGAAUAAGCAAAUAGUGAUGCAUGUUUUUAAUAGCUGCAAGAACUCCAGCAGAACUUCUGAGCCUGCCCGGCUGAUUAAAUCCAGUGAAGGCCCAGUGAAAGCUCUUGCUAAGUUCCUAGGCAGAGCCAGCUGUAUAAAGGACUUUGGGAAGAACGCAGAUUUGAUUCUGAAGACUUUUUACUGUGUGAAAUUUUAUGAAGCAGAAGACAUGUAUAUUAGCUGAUCGAUAGAAGUGUCAUAUACACAAGCAAUACAGUAGAUACAUUCCUGAUACGUUAAUUUCACAUGGUGACGAUGAUAAUAUUUCCUCCAGCAACUUAAUUAAUUUUGUAAAAAAAUUCCUAGUAAAAGAAAUGUCAUUGCAUUUUUUUUUUGUCAAGCUGAUAAAUAUGAUUUAACUGCAAGAGAAAAGCAACUGAAAAACAGGUUUGCACUGGAAAACUAGUGCUCUCUUUUUCUGUUUUGUUCUGUUGUAAAAGGAGUAAACUCUGGGUUUUCAUUGCUUUGAUUGCUUGGUGGUGCUUGUUUUCUUAAUGUGAAAUUGAAGUUGUCUCUGUCCUGAAAAACUGUGCUGGCCAAAAAAAUAGUGAAAUAUCUGAAGAAUAUUGAAGUUAAGAGAACAAGGGGAAAGAUUUUUUAAUCAGUCCAAAUGUUUUACAUUUCUCAUAUCCGUGGCUUAUUUUUGUCUUCUCAACUUCAACUUCAACACAAAAUUUAGGGAAAAGCAGGCCUUUGCUAAAGAUUCAACACCUCCAUCCUGAGAUUUCCCAAGAAGCAUGUUUGGGGAGAGUAGGUACGUCCUCCGACUAAACCAGAGGAGACCAAAGCAGGCUGUUGAGUGUGACCUUUUCAGAUCUUAUGGGAAAAGAGACAAAACCAAAGAAGUCGUUUCUUGAAGCUUUCUGUGCUGUAAAGGAACGUGCAUGUCAGACAGUCUGUUAAAGUAAACUUCUCUCCUGGGUCAAAUGCAUCUUGGUUUCAGGAAGAGGUCGCAGAAGUGUCUGCGGGAUGUGAGGGCUCGGUCCGCAUUGCUUCGAUGUGGCUGUGUGAACCCUCCCGGAGGCUCCCGCACUCCCCAGACCGCAGCACCUGGAGGGCACGUCCUGGGUUGGAGGGACAGCAUGUGGGACGGAGCUGGGUCCUGCCCGUGCUCGCUGCACCUUGGUGGGCACCAACACUGCUGUGUACGGCUGAUGUGUGUCCCGGGCUGCAGCUGGACAUGGCCACAUGGCCCAAGUCUGGAGCUCUUCCCUGCACCUGGGAAACUGGCACUGCUGGUGGGGAACUGCUCACUGGGAGGGCAGGACAUUCGGCGGGCUUGCUGGAGGUGUGGAUUUGUUUCUCAUCCCAGUCUGAGGAGAGGAGAAGGAGAGCAAGCAAGAAGCUGCUGGCUAGAGCGCUCAGCUGGGAAGAGAGACUCGGGUUGUGCUCCCUGGAGAGCCUGUGUUGUAUUUACAUUAUACAAUCAUUGGCUAAAAGACCAAAAGCAAUUCAGGAAAUAGGGGUGUGUGUCCGGGACUCCUCCCUUCUGGCACAAAAGUUCUUCACCACCAGCCUGAAGAGUUAAGCUCCCUGCUCCUGGCCCACAUGUUAUCUCUCCCUCUCUGCAGUUUAGCUGGUGCCCUUUGCUGCCAAGGGAGAAGGCGUCAGCAGGAAGGGCGAAGGGUGCUCCACUUCCCGUCUGGAGACAGCUAGCUGCUGAGCCUGGGCCGUCCAACGCAUCCGGAGAAGCGGAUUCACAGAUGCUUCAGGAACUUCGUUGAAAAAGCAAGGUGCCUGCUGAGACUGGCUGCUGCAUGCACAUGUCUCUGUGUGCAGGAGGGCGCAAGUGGAUUGCAAUUUGCACUUAGGCAUUUCAAGUCCCCGGAGAUCCUAUGUUAAGUUCCCAAAUUCUCAUGUAGGCUCCCACAUCCCGUUCUGAGUCUGAAACUGAGAUCAUGAUUUCAUUUGUGCUUUCACCAAGAAUUAUUUUGUUCAAA
Dromaius novaehollandiae (emu) is the source of this 8681-nucleotide long non-coding RNA. RefSeq lists it as uncharacterized. The transcript is spliced from 2 exons. Lineage: Eukaryota; Metazoa; Chordata; Aves; Casuariiformes; Dromaiidae. The record is from RefSeq and is a predicted model, not a curated record.